GAGAACUUCAGACAGGCAAGCUGCAUGGCUAACCUAAGUGCUGUCUAUCCUGCACAAAGCAACUCUUUUUAAUUUGCUAGUCUAGAUAAAGCAAUGUAAAGACUUUGGAUGAGCAUUAAAAUAGAUGGAGAAUUGCUGAGGGCUUGAGUUAGUCAAGAGCACUGUGAGGGACAGCCUGAAAAUGAGGUUGAGUCAGAGGCUGAGGUUCAGGGGAAGGACAGCAGCUGCCUGCCAGCAGGAGGUAUAUGGCCUUUUCAAAAAUGUGCCAGUUUAUCCUGGGUAAAUGAAACCAGUGUAAUAACAUCUGUUUUAAUUCUCCUGUCUUGAUAAGCUGUAUUCAUUUAAAUGUUUAAGAGGCCUAUCCAUUAGCAGAUGCCACAAAUGAC
This 386-nucleotide long non-coding RNA is filed under the name Cyanistes caeruleus (blue tit). RNAcentral's name for it is "lncRNA (ENSCCEG00000012375.1)". The record is from RNAcentral. Lineage: Eukaryota; Metazoa; Chordata; Aves; Passeriformes; Paridae.